This 27-nucleotide small RNA is filed under the name Bombyx mori (domestic silkworm). RNAcentral's name for it is "ovarian small RNA-22650". The record is from RNAcentral. Lineage: Eukaryota; Metazoa; Arthropoda; Insecta; Lepidoptera; Bombycidae.
UAGGACGUAGAGGGGAUGGGUUGUUGG